AAAGUAACAGCGAGUUUCUGCUUUCCUGUAUGGAAGCUGAUUCCUAAAAGAAAGGGGGCAUGUCCGGCAUCCAGGGGACUGCCGUGACCCCCAGAAUGUCAUGAAGACGGCCUUAAAUUUCACAUGGGAACAAAUGGAAGAACCAGCCCACCGAGCAGUUUUCGGGCAACGUGGGACACACACACGGCAGGCUCUGUGACGACAGGGGGAAGUGUAGACGGGCGGUGGGUGCCACCGUGGCCUAAUUACACUAUCCUGCUCAGGCCCAAGGCCCCGAGGCACAUGCUCUUAGAGAUCAGCGGACCUGCACGGAGAAUUGCCACUCUCCUGGCCUCCUACACUCGAGGGCCUGACACGCCCCAGGUCACAGACGGGGUACGCUCACCAUUUAUUCCUAGCAGGUGGCAGAAGAUAUGACCCCUGCCAGGUCAUUGAUACUCAGUCGCUAAGCGAUUAGAAGGUCGCAGAGGUUUGCGGGAAGAAGAGAGGAGGACUACAGGAUUCUAGGUGGGGAGGCCUGGAGGUGGGGCUCGGAAAAAUGUGAAAAAAAAAAGAUGAAAGAUAGCAAGCUUGCUUUGAGGCUAUGCAAGGAAGGCAGGGGAACUGGGGGCGAAGGAAGUGCCCCCCUCCCCCCCCCCCGCCGGGAACGGGGAGGGCAGUGGGGGAGGGGUGGCCCCGGGCAGGGACC
Molecule: long non-coding RNA, 688 nt
Organism: Lynx canadensis (Canada lynx)
Lineage: Eukaryota; Metazoa; Chordata; Mammalia; Carnivora; Felidae
Exons: 3
Source: RefSeq, a predicted model, not a curated record